Non-coding RNA from Rattus norvegicus (Norway rat), 5437 nucleotides. The record is from RefSeq and is a predicted model, not a curated record. NCBI's taxonomy places the organism in Eukaryota, Metazoa, Chordata, Mammalia, Rodentia, Muridae.
UUCCAGAGGCAGAAAGAGUGAGAAGCGAGGCAGCUUUCAGGGUAGCAAAAGAACCUUAGUUCUUCCAUCGAAUUUGCUGCGAAAAAAGCAGAGAAGAAAGAUGUCAGUUGUUACUUAACACUACAGUGAGGAAAUGAAGGCAGGUCACGGCCAUGUCCUGGAAGGACCAGAAGCCUGGCUACUGAGUCUCUACCAUGUGCUCUGUCAUUCCUGCUCUCUACUAGGUCUGGCGAUGAUCAGUGCAUCAGUUAUGCUCCUUGCUGAGGUCCGGCACAGCCACAGUGCCACCAUCAAGAAAAUGAGGAUAGCUAGCUCACAUCCCACCACUAGCUCUUUUUCAGAGAAAUUACCUGGACAGGGGCACUGUUCUUGUGCAAAAUUUCCACAACUCGAUGGAAGCCAAUGGGUGCUCUCUUCUUGGUGUAACCCAACCAGUUCUGAAAGAAAGGACACAGACUGGAAGAAGCUUCAUCGGCAACAGGAAUGUAGGAGACCAAAGAAGCCUUCACCCUCCAAAGGCCUCACAAGGGUCAGGGCACCCACCUUUGUGGUGAACAAGGCAUCGACAUCAUUCCAGGCUCUAAGCUUGGCCCGCGCAGCCAAGGCUGUCAGCACAUACUGUCUGUCUGGGAUCUGAGGAGCAGAAAGCAGCAAUAGUAAGAAGGUAGAGAAUUGCAUCCAUGAAAUGCUUUACAAUUUGAGAAAAGCAAAUGUAUUUGCUGACACUGAUCCUGACCCUUAAAAGUAACCAAGUUUGCAGUCAUCAAAGACCCUUUGUUUUCCAAGGCCCACACUGAUGUACAGUGACAGACGUUUUCUCUCACUUCCCACUGACUUUCUACAUUACCCUGACAUCAGGAACCCAGUGCACAGGUUACCAGAGUAUUACUUCACUCAACAGUCAAUGCAAUGCUACCUUGAAUGUUUUCUUCAGGUUGACUGGACUGCUGAAGGUCCCCUAGGAUGAAACGGGGGAAGAAACUAGUGAAACCACAAAUCCCUCAUUUUCUUCUUUAUUACACAAACCCUCUGUGUAAAUUAUAAACCAUUGAGAUCCAGAAACCACUUUAUGAGUAAGUCUCCUCAGGUCUGAUGGAGUACCACACACCCCACUGCAUCAGGAAGAAGACAAGGAGCCAGCACCAGAGGUAGCAGGUGCUCUGCUAGGGUGCCAGCCACAGACGGCCAGCGAACCCUCAUAACCUUUGUUCCUCUUGGCUCGCUCGUGCUGAGAAGUUUCUGGAUUUCUGAAAACCACACAGGCCCGCUGACAAUACCUCACAAUAGUGUAUUUGAACAAUGCUCCACUCUCACUCCGCCUGUACCUCGGACUCCGUGUAGUGAUAGAAGCAGGCGUAGAAGAGUGUCGUCACUAGUGGCAUGUUGAGGAUGGAAGCUUUUCGGGGGUGCUUCCGGAAGAUCUCAGUCUGCCCUGAAGACUCCAGGUGUCGGUCAUUGGCCUGUGGUGGAUCAGGUAAGUGAGAAAAGGAACAGUGUCCAUUGGGAUAGGCAGGAAAAUACCUGCAUUACCACAGCAGUUGUGUUUCCAACAGAAAUUGCUUAGGAUAUCCCAUGAGGGCUAAAGUCCAUAACCAGGUCCUAGAUUUUUAAGUUUAACUUAGAGAUUUCCACAGCUCAGCUUAGUGUUGCACGCCUAUAAUCCCCGCACUUAGGAGGAGGAAGCAGGAAGCUCAGGAGUCCAUGGCUUCAUUACACAGUCCAGUCCGGACUCGAUGAUAUCUUACCUCAAAACAAAAAGAAAGAAAGGAAGAAAAAGAAAGGAAAGGGAGGGAGGAAAGAAAUUUUGGAAGUGGAAAUGACAAGAAAUCUCAACUAGAGGACACAUUAAAUACUCCUAGGCCAGUAGCAGGAAAGAGGAAAAAAUGCCUAAGGACAGUCAAGAAAAAGAGAAGAAAUAAAAGUCUAUGCCAGAAAACAGCGAGCAGAGCUGAGGGGGGCCUGGGUGCUGAGCGGCUCUGAGCUGGGCACAGAAGCAGAGCAGAGACGGAGUCUCACCUCGAUGAUGAUCUGGCGCUCCAGCAGUGUGUACUGGUCUUGCACGUGUGCAGAGUCUUCCGCUGAAAAGGGCAAACUGGUAAAGGGCCACAAGGUUAGUACUUUUUAUGUGAAAAGCAAAACAAACCCAACAAGACCAAACCAAACGAUCAUGAAAACCUUCUGAGCUCACGGUUUUUAACACGUUUGAUCCCUAUGCACCUUCUCAGGAUCCUUUAAGGCAGACAGAAUAGCUACAGUAUACUUUGGUCUGGAUAUUGUAUUUGAGGUUUGCUGACUGGACUGGGGAUGUAGCUCAGCUGGUAUAGUGCUGGCCUAGCAUUCACGAAGCCCCAGAUUCAAUCGCCAGCACUGCAUAGACCCGGUGAGAUGGUAUAGGUGAAAGCACCAUACUCAGCCUGGAUCACAUGAAACCCUUGAGAGAGGGAGGAACGGAGGGAGGGAGGGAGACACCGAGACUUUGAAAACUCAAAAGGAAUCUUCUCGAAGUCCACAAAAUGCACAGUUGUGAUUUUGCUGUGAAUGAGUAAGGGGCAGCUUGGUUGGGGAGUUAGCCAUUCGGUGAGUGGGUCACAAAGCUAGAGAGCCAAGACAACCACCCAUCGCCAAUGUGCCCACAGAACUUGCUGAGCAGAGUAAAAAAAAGCAAAUUAUAUAGCAUAGUGUUGGUUGGAAAAUUAACAAAGAUUGAUCUACAGAAAUGUCAAGGACUCCAUCUUCAAAACUAUGUCUUUAGCUAGAUAAGGGGACACAUGUCUGUAAUUCCAGCACUUAUGAGGAGGAGCCAGGUUUAGGAGUUCUUGAUUCCAUAGCAAGUUCAAAGCCAGUCUGGAUCCACGAGCGCGAAAGGCCCUUUUAACCUUCAGUUCAGACCUCUGUCCUGUAGACUGAUGCUUGUUCCUCUACUCACUACAGAAAGAAUCCUGAGAUCAAUUACGCUGACCCAGGGAAGUGUGAACCCCAGCUCUCUAUCUGCUAACAUGAAAUUAGGAAUCUCAUACACAGUGAAUUCUAAAUGUGACCCUAGAAAUGCUUCCAUGAGGAAUGGCUGGACCAAGUGUGAACAAUGAACCUUGAGAAGCAGGGGUGCUGAGAGGCUAUGCAGCUGUAGGACAGAUACAGAGAAGCACAUUUCAGCUUAAGCCAUGGGCGCCCUUUCCUGACGAAGGCCGGUCAACAGUAAAAUGAGUUACUCCCAAGAGCAGCGAGCAUCCAUCAGAACAGUGAUACCCACAGCUUUGUGUGCCUGUCUUACUGAAGACUCGAGUUUGGAUGAAACCUUGCACUACAGCAGUAGCCCAGAGAACUGGGGCUUCAAGACUUGUAACAAGAAAAAUACUCAAGGUCCACAAUCACUUUUACCUUUUAAUUUUAUUAUAGUAAAUCAUUAAAAAAUUUACUAUUGGGGCUGCAGAGGUUAAGAGCACUGGCUGCUCUUCCAGAGAGCUCAGGUUCAAUUCCUAGCAUCCACACAGCAGUUCAUAGGUAUCUGUAACUCCAGUUCCAGGGGAAUCUAACACCUCACAUGACAUAAUAUGCAAGCAAAACACCAAUGUAUAUAAAGUAAAUAAAUCAUUAAAAAAGUAUCACAGUUUUAUUGCCAAAAUGAGAUGUGUGAGAACCAAAGUUCGAGAACAACGAGUCUUUCUAUCUCAGUAGGUUUAGCUUUAGGGAAAGAUCCUAUCUAGCCCAUUUUUUUUUUUUUUUUUUUUUUGAGGUUUCUUCCAAUCAGUGAAAACUCUGGUGGAGACUAGGAUUUGGGAGUCACUGAGGUAGAUGACCUACAAAUACUGCCCACGUGAGUCAUGGUUAGCCUUCCCUUCUGAGCCAUCCAUCCCAUUCUCUUUUCUUCUCUUCUAUCUACAUAAAACUACUUUUCCCCAUACUUACCCAAUGCACGUCUUAAGAAAUUCUUUUCGUUUUUCAGGGUCCUGAAUGUUCAAAUGCUCUCGAUAAUGGGAUAGCUACAACAAAACAACAGAAUGGAGCUAACAUAUCUGUAAAAGAGAGAGGGAGCUCACUAGGAGGAUAGCACUUGUCUAAGCACACAUGUGAGCACAAAGAGCAUAUGUAUGUGCACACAGAGAGGGGGAGGGGAAGGAGAGAGAGGGAGAAAAGGAGAGAGGAAGAAAGUUAGAGAGAGAACACUAAGUGGAUGUGUGUGCACUUGUGUGUACUUCCCUGUACUUGUGUAUGUGUAAGGGCCAGGAGCAAGGGUCUGGUUCUCCCUCUAUUGCUCUCUGCAUUAUCUCUUUAUAGAUUUAUUUUAACUGAGUGCAGAUGCCUGAGGCGCCAGAAAACAUCAGAUUCCCUGAAGCUGGAGUUACAGGUAGUUAUGAGCUGACUGAUAUAGGUGCUGGGAAUAGAAUUCCAGUUCUCUGCAAGAGCAAUACACACUCUUAACUACUGAGCCAUCUCGUCAGUCUAUCCACCCUGUCUUCUGAGCCUGUGUCUCCCAUUGCACCUGAAUGAAGGCAGACUGUCUGGCCAGCAAGCCUCUGGAAUCCUCUCACCUCCACUGCCUCAGCACGGGGCUUGCAGAAGCAAACCCAGUGCACUCAAUUUUUACAUGGGUCCUGGGGAUCCAAAGUAAGGGUCUCCUGCUAGCACCAUCCACUGAGCCACCUUUCUCCAGAUUAUAAUUAGAUUUUAUAUGCUCUAAAACUGACACUGUUUACUCUGAGUCCUCCUGGACUACAGACUCUUAUGUGUAUGUGAGGGACUAAGCUAGGCACAGUGUCGUUUUCUAGAUCUAAUCAACUAAGAACAGGAAACAAUCAGCAGGAGGACUUGGCGGCUGGGCUGGGCUUUGACUUAGAUGUCUGGUAAAUAGAUUCCCAACAGAGACAAACGGCCACACUUACCGCCAGCUCUUCUGUUCUAUCUAGGAACCUGGGGAAAGCAAAAGAGCAGGAGAGUUUGAUCUACUGACCUCCCAGUACUCCUCACAUAAGAGACACUCUCCAGAAGAAACAAAGAAACGCCUCUACACUGAGACAAUAAUUAACAACACUACCUUGGCACAGACGGGUGCUUGACAAGACUUCCUUGACUGGAAAGGAAAGCCAAGAAAGAGCAAACAGCCUGCCUCUGUGAGCAUGUCUUCUCUGGCAAACUCCUUCUGGCCUAACCAGGAAGUGGAUGAGAUGUCUCAGUGCGACCUGGCGUACCUCCAGCUCUCGGAAAAGGAUCUCUGGCACGUUAGGUAGAGAAAGAAGUAAAGCUUCCUAGUACUCAAGUCUGAGUGUGGCCUCUCCACUCAUCCACCCCAAGCAUCGUCACCCAAAAGCCUAGCAACAGCUAAGGAUGGCUCUUCCUGGUCUCAACCCACCAUCACUGUCAGCCUCUGUGCUCUAGAGCAGUGGUUCCCAACCCUCCUAACGCUGCAACCCAUUAAUACAGUUCCUCAUGUUGUGGUGAA